This is a non-coding RNA of Pelobates cultripes (western spadefoot toad), 234 nucleotides long. The record is from the annotation of a GenBank genome assembly. Lineage: Eukaryota; Metazoa; Chordata; Amphibia; Anura; Pelobatidae.
ACGGAAAGUCAGGGCUGGGUUAGAAGAGGAGGACUUGCAAAGGCUUCGGAAAAGAGAUCUGCAGCAUUUGCAAGCUGUUUUUAGAAAUGCCCCAAAUGAAAAAAUGCAUAAUUAAACAUGUGAAUGUUUUCACUGGGGUAUAUCUUAAAUACGGUGCUUUUUAUUUUAUUUUUUUUAUCUGGCAGUGGACUGUCUCUUUGAGCUAAAUUUGGGUGUUAAAGCUCUAAAUACUGU